UGGCGAACGGGUGAGUAACACGUGGGUGAUCUGCCCUGCACUUCGGGAUAAGCCCGGGAAACUGGGUCUAAUACCGGAUAGUACUGCGCGGUGCAUGCCGUGUGGUGGAAAGAUUUAUCGGUGCAGGAUGGGCCCGCGGCCUAUCAGCUUGUUGGUGGGGUAAUGGCCUACCAAGGCGACGACGGGUAGCCGGCCUGAGAGGGCGACCGGCCACACUGGGACUGAGACACGGCCCAG
Molecule: ribosomal RNA, 237 nt
Filed under: uncultured Actinomycetales bacterium
Lineage: Bacteria; Bacillati; Actinomycetota; Actinomycetes; Actinomycetales
Description: partial 16S ribosomal RNA
Rfam family: Bacterial small subunit ribosomal RNA
Source: RNAcentral